GGUUUGAGCUUCCACUUGUGGUUUGCUGUGGCUAUGGAGGUGAGUACAACUAUGGCAAUGAUGCCAGCUGUGGUAGUACCAUUACUGUUAAUGGUAGCCAAAUUUUUGUGGGAUCAUGUGAGCGCCCUUCACUUCGAGUGAAUUGGGAUGGAGUUCACUACACUGAGGCAGCUAACAAAUUUGUUUUUGAUCAAAUCUCCAGUGGAGCAUUUUCAGAUCCGCCUCUGCCCUUAAAAAUGGCAUGUCAUAGGAACGCUUCAUAUUGAAGGCAGACCAACGUGCACUUCUGUUGGUAUUAUCAUUAAUGUAUGCUCCUGGUUCUGGGUAAUAAGUAAUAAGCAUCAUGCAUUGAUCAAAGGGUAGCCUAAAAUGUACCUUUCUUGUAUGUAAUAAGCAUCAUGCAUUGAUCAAAGGGUAGCCUAAAAUGUACCCUUCUUGUAUGUAAUAAGCAUCUAACUCAACAGAGUUAGUGUACUCAUGCUCUCUAAUAUAUUUGGCAAAGCCCAUGUCCUUUAUUGCAGAACCUGCACUUCAUUUGUUAAAUUAUUAUUGUUUCACAGACAUGAAUAAGCCUGUUUUAAAAGGAAAUUGAGAGCAAAAAUGAAAAUAAAAAUAAAAAUGGGGCUGUGUAGAAAGGUGGGUGACGUGGGUCUAAUUUAAUAGUGACUUGAAAAUAUCCGAAGUAUGAUUCUUUGAAGAUUGAAGAAUCUUCAUAGGGUGUUUACUUCAAAAUUACACCUACCUUAAAAGUUUCCUUGAAUUGAAUUUAGCACAAUAGACACUCAUCAAUUAAACCAACCAAGAUAUUGUUUUGAUACAUUUUUGGUUGUCUAUUUUUAAAAAUAUAAAAAUAAUAAUAAUAAUAACUUUUAUCCAAAAAUGAUACUGAAAAAAAAAAACUUUAAAAUUUAAAAAUGAAAGAUAAAUUCAUACAUUUUAUAUAAUAUUUACUAAUUUUUUUAUUAUUUUUAUUUUAAAAAUAGAAAAUAUAGAAUGAAUAUUGUAAUUAACACUAAAUUUUAAUAUUUUUGAUAUGCAUUAUGGGGAAAUGGACAUUGAUCAUUUUCUAGAAUGUAGAAUUUUUAUUUGCAUAAUGAAGCAUAAGUUUUUGUUUGUAUGUUAGCCAAUACCUUACUUGUGGUGGAAAAGCCAAAGACACACAUGACAAAUUUCUAUGAAACGUUAUCUUCCAAGUUGCGGGUCCAAAUAUGCAUGCUGUGUCGUGUCGAGAAGAAUUAGCCAGGAGGCAACAUGUGAGCUCCUACAAAGUCAAGGCCUCCAUGAACGUGUUUGGAAUUUAUUUUCUCUAAUAUUAUAUAUAAAUUCAAAUUUUAGAUCUGACAAAAUCUUCAAGCUCGUGAAAGAAACUAAUAAAAACGAAUAUGAGACUAGAGUUAACUGCAAGGCUUUUAAGGUCAUGUUUGUCUGAUUUCAUGCAGCCUUAUCUUACUGCAAAGAUCACACGUAAGUUUGAAGAAAUUUUUGUAACUGAGCUUAAAUAUCACCGAGUCCUAGAAAUUAAAUUCAGUGGAAAAGUCCACCUUGUCACAGUAUACAAAUUUUUGUUCUCCCUUUUUGGAUAAUUACCCUUACAGGUAGGCUAGAAAAAAUAUGAUUGAUAAGGAUGGGUAUAUUUAAUAAUUCUUCUUAAGGGUAGGGUGAAAUUAAGAUAAUUUUUCUAAAGACCUUAUUUUUUUUGAAUGUCAAUACUACCCUUAAUAAGUGAAAAUCAACAGCAAAAUGUAAGAUUUUUGUCGAUAUUGAAGAAGAAAAAAAUCCAACACUUCAGGUUAUGAUCUGAAACCCUUUUCACAAAGCUUGUAUUUUUGUGUGAAUCUAGUAAGAAAUCCAUUAAAGGUAAGAUUUUUUUAUAAAAAAAAAAAAGCUGAAAAAAACAAAAAUACGUCAGUUUAUGCAAAUAAAUAAAUAAAUAAAUAAGUAAUUUAAAAUUUGGAUUGAAGGAACGAACUGUUAAUAAUUUUAACAAUGUAGAUCUAAAAUAUUAUAUCUGAAAUAUUGAAUGAGGUUUUGAGAAAGAAAUUACAUUUUUUGUGUUGAAUUUUUUUAUUUUAUUUUGGUCAUAUUGAAGAUGUGUUUUUAUUUUUAAUUUAUUUUUUGGGUGAGUUAUUUGAUAUGAUUAUUAUUGAUUUCCAUUAAAAAUGUUUGCACUUUAGUUUUGUUGUUGAGACUUGCUUGACAUGAGAGAAGAAAAAAAUUUCUCAAUUGUUUCAUGCUUUUUUGGAACCACUUUGUUUGAGUAUUUAUGAACAUAUUUGGAUUUUUAUUGAAAACUGAAAAUUAUAAUCAAUUGAGACAUAUUUUAUAUAAUAAAGAACAAUAUUUUUUGUAUAUUAGACAUGUAUAUGCCAAAAAACUCAUAAUUGCCCUAUUUUUAUAUAAAAAAUUAAUUUUAUAGAUUUUUUUUAUACAUCGACAACUUUAUGUAUUGAAAUUACAAUAGUGUAUUUUUGUUAUCUUUUUAUAAUUUUGGCUUGCAAAGAUGCUUUAUGAUAGGAAUACAACAUGAUAGCCUAGAAAUGCUAGUUUAGUAAAAAACGAAUUCAAUAUUUUGUCAUUUUGGUAUAUUAUAAUGUAUCGUAAUGUUAAUAUUUUUUUCAUUAUAACUAUAUUGCAUUUGUAUUGUAAUUAUACUUUAUAAUUGUCAGGAGAGAAGGAGAGAAGAUGUACUUCUCAAUUGGUAAAUGGACUUGAAAAAUUCAGGGUAAAUUGGUCUAAUAAAAAUGUAAGACCUUCAUAAGAAUUAUCAAACCUACCAACGUUUUUCAGUAAUUUUUUUCCCCAAUCGGGUAAUUUUCCCUUCCCUUUUCUUCUUGUUUUCAAAAAACCAACCAUAGGUUAUGAAAAUUUGUUUUUUUCUAGUUUUGGGUUUACCGCUGAAGAAAGAGUCUUUGGAUUUUCUAUAAUUACAAACCGAUAGCAAACCCAGAACCAGUCAAUUUGAUUUGUCAAGAAGCGAUAUGGUAUGGAAAUGAGUUUAUUUAUGGAAUAUUUGUAUUUUGGAGGUGUGGCAAUAAGAUGUAUGUUUGAUGCAGCUGUGGUUCUUGUGGGUACGAACUAAAGCUUUGCGAUCCUCUAAUCGGAACACAAAGAAUAUAGGCUCCAAAUAUGGGAAAAACAUAAAACGCGGCGUCAUAUCAUUUCUCCAAGUUGAUGAGAGUGGCUUUACCCUGGUUGAUGAGUUCAAAUGUAUACCCUACUUCAUCUCCAGGCACUCUUGGGGUUUGUUCUGCCACAGAACCACUUCUUUGCCGUAAGUGUGGCAACCAUGUUGGCAAUGCUUAUGUCAGGAAGUCUCCUUACCCACUUGUGUUCGAUGAAUCGGAUUCUGCCCCAGCCACAGCCACCACUGACAUCUCCACUUGUAGAAAAUAUGACAUUCGACUCCGUGCCCUGCAGCCCUCAUCUUCUGAGCCCUCUGCCAUUCCGCUUCUCACCUGAUCUGCAGAAUCAAACCAAGAAUAUUCUUAUGAGAGGGACUGUAUAGCAAUUGAGUCCUUUGUUUUGGUCUUGGCUUUUUGCUCUUUUGUAUUACUAGAUAGAUGGUGAGUCAGUGACUUGUAAAUAUCAGUUUCCAAGACUGGAUUAUCGAAGUUUUUUAUACUUCCAGUAACUUACAAAUAACACGGUCGAUGUAAUUUCUUGUUCUCACUGUUCUCUGUUAGCCAUGACCAUAAUCACAACAUAUCCUUCUAACUAUGAUCCACAUAUCCUCUUUCCUAUUCAAUUUGGAAACUGGAAAAGUUCAAAAUUCAACGAACUUUCCUUCGCCACGCCCACAGUUUAGGUCAUUGGAUUAGGCAUGCGGACGUGGGCGUUGAGUAUGCUUUUGCGCGCGAGUGUCUUGCUACCUUAGACACGAACCCCUCCUCUUCCACUCAUUUUGUUGCGGAAGGAGGCCAGGCCAUUCUUAUUCAAACAAAUUAGCUGGGAACUUUGAAAUCUUAAACCGUCGUAGAUAUGUGAUAAACUAGUACACCUUGUAUGAGAUAAUCUAAUCCUGAUUAUUGCUAACAUUGUCAAUUUUAAUCAGCUCCGGCCUGUAUGUUGUUGGACCAGUUGCCCACAAACAUGUAGUUCACAUGGAAGUGGGUCCUGAGGUCAGUACCUGUUACAUCUCCAACCACAAAAGAAUUAACUAAAGAUCAAAUGUGCAAUACGAGUACAAUCAGUAAUGGGGCAGUGCACUGACUCAAUUAAAUUAUAUGGUUUGACCAUUAAACACUUUGAAUUUCUUCAUCACGUAAUCCAAAAGUCUACGUCCUCCUCCUCCUCCUCCCUCUCUCUCUCUCUCUCUCUCUCUCUCUCCAUGGAGUCUCCCAGCACCACCAGACUUGCCACUUCUCUCUGCUGUAUUUGCGUGCUUUUAUCUUUUACUACCACAGUGAUCAACCCUGUUGUUGCUUUGGAAAAUUGCAAAUUUCCAGCAAUCUUUAACUUAGGAGCCUCCAGUUCAGACACAGGUGGAUAUGCUGCUGCCUUCUCUCAACCUCCCUGGCCUUAUGGGAGGACCUUUUUCCGCAUGCCAGCAGGCAGAUUCUCAGAUGGUCGCCUCAUGAUUGAUUUCAUUGGUACCAUUUACCUUCUCUUUAAACCUAUUUUCUGCAUAUCUACCUCUCAUUGGCCAAGAGCCAGUGUUUAUAAAAUCGGUACAGGGGACAAGAAAAGCCAAAUUCAGACAUUCAUUUUUAAUUUCAUUUUCCAUCAAAAUUAGAAAAAGGGCUAGGAAAUGCACUGGUUUAGUCUAGGACUAACCGAAACUUGGCAGCAUUAUUGACUUGGGCAAAAUUUACAUGGUUUCAGCCAACAGUUUUGGUCUACCAUUUCUCAGUGCUUAUCUUAAUUCUCUGGGGUCCAAUUACACAAAUGGUGCAAACUUUGCCACGGCUGCUUCUACAAUCCGACUACCGACUAGCAUAAUACCUGCAGGUGGGUUCAGUCCAUUCUACCUGGACUUGCAAUACGAUCAGUUUGUGCAAUUCAAGUCCAGAACACUAAAGAUAAGGAAACGAGGUAAAUGAUAAUUUAACAUUAAUAGACGUUUUGUAGUGCAUAGCUAUAUAAAUGAUAUUUUUCUAAGUGGCUUUUAAUGAUUUUUAGGUGGGGUGUACAAGGACUUAAUGCCCAAGGAGGAGUAUUUUCCCAAAGCUCUAUACACGUUGGACAUCGGUCAGAAUGAUCUUGGUGAAGGGUUCUUUGCUAACAAGUCAAUCCAGGAAGUCAAUGCAACUGUCCCUGAUAUAAUCAAUGGUUUCUCCACCAAUGUCAGGGUAAUCCUUAGAUUAGGGACUUCGAUUUAAUGUAUGUUUUGAAGCAUUUCCUUUCUGGGUCUCGUUUUUUCAUAGCUUUUUUCUCUCUGUCACAACUUAUUGCAUAGUACUGAGACUAUGUACAUGAAUGAAUCACAUGAUGAUGCAGCGUAUUUACAAGUCGGGAGCAAGAUCAUUCUGGAUUCACAACACAGGACCCAUCGGCUGCCUCGCCUAUAUCUUGGCCAAUUUUCAGGCAGCUCAAAGGGACAGCGCCGGUUGUUCAAAGCCUCACAAUGAAGUGGCUCAGUACUUCAACUACAAGUUGAAGGAGGCUGUUGCCCAACUCCGGAAGGACUUUCCUUUAGCUGCAAUUACAUAUGUCGAUGUCUACUCUGUCAAGUAUUCCCUCUUUAGCCAACCCAAGAAAUAUGGUAAGCCAUAUGAUGAUAUAUAUAUAUAGGAAAAUAGUAGCUCGUGUCAUUUAACUUUAACUCAUUUAUGCAUCAUGUUGUUAACAAAUGAUGCUUUUCUCAUAAUCUGCAGGGUUUGAGCUUCCACUUGUGGUUUGCUGUGGCUAUGGAGGUGAGUACAACUACAGCAAUGAUGCUGGCUGUGGUAGUACCAUCACUGUUAAUGGUAGCCAAAUUUUUGUGGGAUCAUGUGAGCGCCCUUCACUUCGAGUGAAUUGGGAUGGAGUUCACUACACUGAGGCAGCUAACAAAUUUGUUUUUGAUCAAAUCUCCAGUGGAGCAUUUUCAGAUCCGCCUCUGCCCUUAAAAAUGGCAUGUCAUAGGAACGCUUCAUAUUAAUGUAUGCUCCUGGUUCUGGGUAAUAAGUAAUAAGCAUCAUGCAUUGAUCAAAGGGUAGCCUAAAAUGUACCUUUCUUGUAUGUAAUAAGCAUCAUGCACUGAUCAAAGGGUAGCCUAAAAUGUACCCUUCUUGUAUGUAAUAAGCAUCUAACUCAACAGAGUUAGUGUACUCAUGCUCUCUAAUAUAUUUGGCAAAGCCCAUGUUUUUUAUUGCAGAACCUGCACUUUAUUUGUUAAAUUAUUAUUGUCUCACAGACAUGAAUAAG
This 6345-nucleotide long non-coding RNA is filed under the name Vitis vinifera (wine grape). Its description in RNAcentral is "long non-coding RNA (VVIN_LNC005909)". The record is from RNAcentral. Lineage: Eukaryota; Viridiplantae; Streptophyta; Magnoliopsida; Vitales; Vitaceae.